UGACGGGUAACGGGGAAUUAGGGUUCGAUUCCGGAGAGGGAGCCUGAGAAACGGCUACCACAUCUAAGGAAGGCAGCAGGCGCGCAAAUUACCCAAUCCUAAUACAGGGAGGUAGUGACAAGAAAUAACAAUACAGGACUUUUUGGUUUUGUAAUUGGAAUGAGUUAAGUAUAAACCCCUUUACAAGUAUCAAUUGGAGGGCAAGUCUGGUGCCAGCAGCCGCGGUAAUUCCAGCUCCAAUAGCGUAUAUUAAAGUUGUUGCAGUUAAAAAGCUCGUAGUUGGAUUUCUGUUAAUAAUUUAUAUAUAAUAUUUGAUUAAUAUUUAUAUAAUAUUAACAUAAUUCAUAUUACUAAAUUAUUUAUUAGUAUAUGAAAUUUUACUUUGAGAAAAUUAGAGUGCUUAAAGCAGGCAUAUGCCUUGAAUACUCCAGCAUGGAAUAAUAUUAAAGAUUUUUAUCUUUCUUAUUGGUUCUAAGAUAAAAAUAAUGAUUAAUAGGG
RNAcentral lists this ribosomal RNA (498 nucleotides) under Cryptosporidium meleagridis. Its description in RNAcentral is "SSU rRNA". It matches the Rfam family "Eukaryotic small subunit ribosomal RNA", at positions 353 to 877 of the family's 1831-position model. The record is from RNAcentral. Lineage: Eukaryota; Apicomplexa; Conoidasida; Eucoccidiorida; Cryptosporidiidae.